RNAcentral lists this transfer RNA (72 nucleotides) under Microcaldota archaeon. Its description in RNAcentral is "tRNA-Arg". It matches the Rfam family "tRNA". From Rfam's summary of the family: Transfer RNA (tRNA) molecules are approximately 80 nucleotides in length. Their secondary structure includes four short double-helical elements and three loops (D, anti-codon, and T loops). The record is from RNAcentral. Lineage: Archaea; Nanobdellati; Microcaldota.
GCCCCUGUAGUUCAAGGGAUAGAAUGCAGCCCUGCGGAGGCUGUGAUCCGGGUUCGAAUCCCGGCAGGGGCG